Selaginella moellendorffii is the source of this 83-nucleotide small nucleolar RNA. It matches the Rfam family "Small nucleolar RNA Z102/R77". Rfam says of the family: Z102 and R77 and are members of the C/D class of snoRNA which contain the C (UGAUGA) and D (CUGA) box motifs. Most of the members of the box C/D family function in directing site-specific 2'-O-methylation of substrate RNAs. The record is from Rfam. Lineage: Eukaryota; Viridiplantae; Streptophyta; Lycopodiopsida; Selaginellales; Selaginellaceae.
GUGUGAAAUGAUGUUUGAUUUUGUUUCCCUAUUGGCCUGAAUCGCCAGCGUGAUGGCUUGAGAAACAUGGUGCCUGAUCACAC